GACGAACGCUGGCGGCGUGCCUAAUACAUGCAAGUCGAGCGAGUCUGCCUUGAAGAUCGGAGUGCUUGCACUCUGUGAAACAAGAUACAGGCUAGCGGCGGACGGGUGAGUAACACGUGGGUAACCUGCCCAAGAGAUCGGGAUAACACCUGGAAACAGAUGCUAAUACCGGAUAACAACAGAUGAUGCCUAUCAACUGUUUAAAAGAUGGUUCUGCUAUCACUCUUGGAUGGACCUGCGGUGCAUUAGCUAGUUGGUAGGGUAACGGCCUACCAAGGCGAUGAUGCAUAGCCGAGUUGAGAGACUGAUCGGCCACAUUGGGACUGAGACACGGCCCAAACUCCUACGGGAGGCAGCAGUAGGGAAUCUUCCACAAUGGACGCAAGUCUGAUGGAGCAACGCCGCGUGAGUGAAGAAGGGUUUCGGCUCGUAAAGCUCUGUUGUUGGUGAAGAAGGACAGGGGUAGUAACUGACCUUUGUUUGACGGUAAUCAAUGAGAAAGUCACGACUAACUACGUG
RNAcentral lists this ribosomal RNA (519 nucleotides) under uncultured bacterium. RNAcentral describes it as "partial 16S ribosomal RNA". It matches the Rfam family "Bacterial small subunit ribosomal RNA", at positions 28 to 507 of the family's 1533-position model. The record is from RNAcentral.